Molecule: small nuclear RNA, 103 nt
Organism: Urocitellus parryii (Arctic ground squirrel)
Lineage: Eukaryota; Metazoa; Chordata; Mammalia; Rodentia; Sciuridae
Source: Ensembl
AUUUUAAAAAAAGGUGGGCAGCACCUUUGAUAUGAUACAGAGAAAAUUAGCAUGGCCCCUAUCCAAGGACAACAAGCAAAUUCAUGAAGUGUUCCACGUUUUU